UGCAAUCAUCCACACAGAGCUUCAACU
RNAcentral lists this non-coding RNA (27 nucleotides) under Bombyx mori (domestic silkworm). The record is from RNAcentral. Lineage: Eukaryota; Metazoa; Arthropoda; Insecta; Lepidoptera; Bombycidae.